RNAcentral lists this ribosomal RNA (176 nucleotides) under Bacillus thuringiensis. RNAcentral's name for it is "partial 16S ribosomal RNA". It matches the Rfam family "Bacterial small subunit ribosomal RNA", at positions 1 to 169 of the family's 1533-position model. RNAcentral also lists the same sequence under 1 other name. The record is from RNAcentral. Lineage: Bacteria; Bacillati; Bacillota; Bacilli; Caryophanales; Bacillaceae.
CUUUAUUGGAGAGUUUGAUCCUGGCUCAGGAUGAACGCUGGCGGCGUGCCUAAUACAUGCAAGUCGAGCGAAUGGAUUGAGAGCUUGCUCUCAAGAAGUUAGCGGCGGACGGGUGAGUAACACGUGGGUAACCUGCCCAUAAGACUGGGAUAACUCCGGGAAACCGGGGCUAAUAC